RNAcentral lists this unclassified non-coding RNA (345 nucleotides) under soil metagenome. RNAcentral describes it as "partial contains 5.8S ribosomal RNA, internal transcribed spacer 2, and large subunit ribosomal RNA". The stretch from base 1 to 121 matches the Rfam family "5.8S ribosomal RNA", at positions 35 to 154 of the family's 154-position model. The record is from RNAcentral.
GAUGAAGAACGCAGCGAAAUGCGAUAAGUAAUGCGAAUUGCAGAAUUUCCGUGAGUCAUCGAAUCUUUGAACGCACAUUGCGCCCACUGGUAUUCCGGUGGGCACGCCUGUUCGAGCGUCAUUAUCCUCCCUCAAACCCCGGGUUUGGUGUUGGACCCAAGUUGUGUGAACAACUGGUCUCAAAGACAAUGACGGCGUCCGUGGGACCCUCGGUGCAACGAGCUUUUAGGAGCACGCAUCGAGUUGCAAGGACCUUCCGGGCCGGUCUCCUUUACCAUUUUACAAGGUUGACCUCGGAUCAGGUAGGAAUACCCGCUGAACUUAAGCAUAUCAAUAAGCGGAGGA